This 497-nucleotide ribosomal RNA is filed under the name uncultured bacterium. Its description in RNAcentral is "partial 16S ribosomal RNA". It matches the Rfam family "Bacterial small subunit ribosomal RNA", at positions 28 to 507 of the family's 1533-position model. The record is from RNAcentral.
GAUGAACGCUGGCGGCGUGCCUAAUACAUGCAAGUCGAGCGAACAGACGCGGAGCUUGCUCCUCUGACGUGAGCGGCGGACGGGUGAGUAACACGUGGAUCACCUACCUAUCAGACUGGGAUAAUCUCGGGAAACCGGAGCUAAUCCCGGAUAAUAUAUUGAACCGCAUGGUUCAAUAGUGAAAGACGGUUUUGCUGUCACUUAUAGAUGGAUCUGCGCCGCAUUAGCUAGUUGGUAAGGUAACGGCUUAGCAAGGCAACGAUGCGUAGCCGACGUGAUAGGGUGAUCGGCCACACUGGAACUGGGUCAGGGUCCAGGCUCCUACGGGAGGCAGCAGUAUGGAAUCUGCCGCAAUGGGCGGAAACCUGACAGAGCAGCGCCGCGUGAGAGAUGGAGGUCUUGGGAGCGGAAAGCCCUGUUUUUAGGGAAAAACAAAUGUGUAAGGAAAUAAGGACGUCUUGACGGUACCUGGUAAAAAAGCAACGGCUAACUACGUG